Molecule: non-coding RNA, 21 nt
Organism: Caenorhabditis elegans
Lineage: Eukaryota; Metazoa; Nematoda; Chromadorea; Rhabditida; Rhabditidae
Source: Ensembl
UUAUUCUCUUCAGAGAUGGCU